Molecule: unclassified non-coding RNA, 378 nt
Filed under: soil metagenome
Description: partial contains 5.8S ribosomal RNA, internal transcribed spacer 2, and large subunit ribosomal RNA
Rfam family: 5.8S ribosomal RNA (bases 1-120)
Source: RNAcentral
GAUGAAGAACGUAGUGAAAUGCGAUAAGUAAUGUGAAUUGCAGAAUUCAGUGAAUCAUCGAAUCUUUGAACGCACAUUGCGCCCGCCAGUAUUCUGGCGGGCAUGCCUGUUCGAGCGUCAUUUCAACCCUCAAGCCCCAGCGGCCUGGUGUUGGGGACCGGCGACCUCGCCCGAGCCCGCCCUCCGGGGCGCGUGCCCGGUGCGUCCGCCGCCCCCGAAAUGAAUUGGCGGCCUCGUCGCGGCCUCCUCUGCGUAGUAGCACAACCUCGCAAGCGGGAGCGCGACGCGGCCACUGCCGUAAAACGCCCAACUUUUUUAGAGUUGACCUCGGAUCAGGUAGGAAUACCCGCUGAACUUAAGCAUAUCAAAAGCGGAGGA